UGGUGCUGACUAUGGAACUGCUGACUAGCAGGGCGAAGAGGCCCCAUCCUACUGUUUGCUUGUACAUUCUGAAAAUGGCGUUGGUACUACUUAGAACCCGAAUGAGGAAAAUGGGAACAAUGGAAUUGCGAAAGUCAUUUUUUAAACAAAUGGCUUUAUUUGCUCAGAGUCAAUUUUGACAGUCUAAAGUUCCGCUAAAACCACAAGUGAACCAAAAACCUACUUAAAAUUGGGUUUGAAACCCCCCAAAAAGUGUAACACCCGCUUAAUCCGACUCAGCAACCGAGACAAUUCAUCGUGGCCACCGUGAAUUAAUCGAUUUCAGGUGCACAUUUCCUCCAAAUAAAUAAAUUCUUGUU
This is a long non-coding RNA of Zophobas morio, 359 nucleotides long. RefSeq lists it as uncharacterized. The record is from RefSeq and is a predicted model, not a curated record. The transcript is spliced from 2 exons. NCBI's taxonomy places the organism in Eukaryota, Metazoa, Arthropoda, Insecta, Coleoptera, Tenebrionidae.